ACCCGCUCUGCUCUCAUUAGAACCACAGUAUCCUGCAGGUCCAGACUGGUUCAGCUCAGUCUGGAUCAGUUCAGAUCGGUUCACAUCAGCAGUUCUGCUGCUGCCAGUCCUGACUGGUUCUGACAGUCAGGACCAAUCAGAACCAGGUUCUGACAGUCAGGACCAAUCAGAACCUGGUUCUGACAGUCAGGACCAAUCAGAACCAGGUUCUGACAGUCAGGACCAAUCAGAACCUGGUUCUGACAGUCAGGACCAAUCAGAACCUGGUUCUGACAGUCAGGACCAAUCAGAACCUGGUUCUGACAGUCAGGACCAAUCAGAACCAGGUCCUGACCUAAACUAAAGGUUUAAUGUUUCAGCUCCGUUGGAUUAAUGAAGGUUUUUCUGAAAAUGAGUUUAAAGUUCAGCUCAGUUUACCUGGAGUUUCUAACCUGAGCUUCAGUAAAAUGUUUUCCUCUCUUGCCCCACAGCAUGAUGCUGCCACCACCAUACUGUACAGUUAGGAUGAUACAAGCGUUUCUAAUGUAACGAUGCUGAUUCUGUCCAGACAUUUCAGUUUUAUGUUCAUCAGACCAAAACUCUGGACUACAACCAGUUUAUUCUCAGUAAUGACUUCUUCCUCUCUGAGCCAGUAACGGUGCAUUGUGGGUAACGGGGAUGUUCCCUGGCGCUGUUUUUCAGCUGCUUCCACGAUGAAUAUAGUUUUAUAAUAAUUAAAUGUGGAGCCUUCGGGACCAAUAAUGAUCCAGAAAUCUUUGCUGAUUUAUUCAUGAUGUCAUCCACCGGCGCUGUGAAUGGACCAAUCAGGAGCUUGCAGAGCUGUGACAUCAUGUUUAUAUUUGCAGAAAAUUAUAAAU
This is a long non-coding RNA of Xiphophorus hellerii (green swordtail), 857 nucleotides long. RefSeq lists it as uncharacterized. Lineage: Eukaryota; Metazoa; Chordata; Actinopteri; Cyprinodontiformes; Poeciliidae. The record is from RefSeq and is a predicted model, not a curated record. The transcript has 2 exons.